GUGAGGAAUAUUGGUCAAUGGGCGAAAGCCUGAACCAGCCAUGUCGCGUGAAGGAUGAAGGUCCUAUGGAUUGUAAACUUCUUUUGCAGGAGGGUAAAGUGAGCUACGUGUAGUUCAUUGCAAGUACCCUGCGAAUAAGCAUCGGCUAACUCCGUGCCAGCAGCCGCGGUAAUACGGAGGAUGCGAGCGUUAUCCGGAUUUAUUGGGUUUAAAGGGUGCGUAGGGGGACUAAUUAGUCAGCGGUGAAAUUUUGCGGCUCAACCGUAAAACUGCCGUUGAAACUGUUAGUCUGGAGUGCGGUAGAGGUAGGCGGAAUGUGUGGUGUAGCGGUGAAAUGCUUAGAUAUCACACAGAACACCGAUUGCGUAGGCAGCUUACUGGAGCGCAACUGACGCUGAGGCACGAAAGCGUGGGGAUCGAACAGGAUUAGAAACCCGGGUAGUCC
RNAcentral lists this ribosomal RNA (445 nucleotides) under uncultured bacterium. RNAcentral's name for it is "partial 16S ribosomal RNA". It matches the Rfam family "Bacterial small subunit ribosomal RNA", at positions 354 to 796 of the family's 1533-position model. The record is from RNAcentral.